GAUGAACGCUGGCGGCGUGCCUAAUACAUGCAAGUCGAGCGAACAGACGAGGAGCUUGCUCCUCUGACGUUAGCGGCGGACGGGUGAGUAACACGUGGAUAACCUACCUAUAAGACUGGGAUAACUUCGGGAAACCGGAGCUAAUACCGGAUAAUAUAUUGAACCGCAUGGUUCAAUAGUGAAAGACGGUUUUGCUGUCACUUAUAGAUGGAUCCGCGCCGCAUUAGCUAGUUGGUAAGGUAACGGCUUACCAAGGCGACGAUGCGUAGCCGACCUGAGAGGGUGAUCGGCCACACGGGAACUGAGACACGGUCCAGACUCCUACGGGAGGCAGCAGUAGGGAAUCUUCCGCAAUGGGCGAAAGCCUGACGGAGCAACGCCGCGUGAGUGAUGAAGGUCUUCGGAUCGUAAAACUCUGUUAUUAGGGAAGAACAAAUGUGUAAGUAACUAUGCACGUCUUGACGGUACCUAAUCAGAAAGCCACGGCUAACUACGU
This 496-nucleotide ribosomal RNA is filed under the name uncultured bacterium. Its description in RNAcentral is "partial 16S ribosomal RNA". It matches the Rfam family "Bacterial small subunit ribosomal RNA", at positions 28 to 506 of the family's 1533-position model. The record is from RNAcentral.